UAUUUUAGUCUUGUUAGAGGAACCUGUUUUAUAAUCGAUAAACCACGUAUAUCUCACUUAUUUUAAAUAACUUGUAUACCGUCAUUAUCAGAUAACUUUCAAAAAAUUAGUUAUUAAAAUUAAAUAAAAUUAAAUAUAUUAGAUCAAGGUGCAGUUUAUAAAUAAGAAAAAAUGGGUUACAAUAAAAUUUAUUUAAAACGAAUUAUAUAAAUGUAAAAAUAUAUGAAGGAGGAUUUAAUUGUAAUUUUUCUUAUAAGAUAAUAAUAUGAUAAUAGCUCUAAAAUAU
RNAcentral lists this ribosomal RNA (286 nucleotides) under Aegla plana. Its description in RNAcentral is "partial 12S small subunit ribosomal RNA". The record is from RNAcentral. Lineage: Eukaryota; Metazoa; Arthropoda; Malacostraca; Decapoda; Aeglidae.